This 345-nucleotide RNase P RNA is filed under the name Clostridia bacterium. RNAcentral describes it as "RNase P RNA component class A". It matches the Rfam family "Bacterial RNase P class A". From Rfam's summary of the family: Ribonuclease P (RNase P) is a ubiquitous endoribonuclease, found in archaea, bacteria and eukarya as well as chloroplasts and mitochondria. Its best characterised activity is the generation of mature 5'-ends of tRNAs by cleaving the 5'-leader elements of precursor-tRNAs. The record is from RNAcentral. Lineage: Bacteria; Bacillati; Bacillota; Clostridia.
CGAGCGGACUGUGCAGUCGCGGCGUACCUUUGAGUACGAUGAGGAAAGUCCGGGCAUCGUAGGGCAGGACGCCUGAUAACGUCAGGUGGGGGCGACCCUAAGGAAAGUGCAACAGAAAAUAACCGCCUCUUUUGAGGUAAGGGUGAAAAGGCGAGGUAAGAGCUCACCGACGAAGCGGUAACGCUUCGUGCCGUGUAAACCCCGUUCGAUGCAAGUUUGGGCUGUGUUCAUAUAGGAUUGCCCGUCCGAACGCAGCCGCCAAUAACGCUUGACCUUGUCGGCGACGGCAAGGCUAGAUAAAUGACUGCAUUCAACAGAACCCGGCUUAUAGGUCCGACUCGGUAA